Long non-coding RNA from Oncorhynchus keta (chum salmon), 1935 nucleotides. RefSeq lists it as uncharacterized. NCBI's taxonomy places the organism in Eukaryota, Metazoa, Chordata, Actinopteri, Salmoniformes, Salmonidae. The record is from RefSeq and is a predicted model, not a curated record. The transcript is spliced from 4 exons.
CCCCCACGAGGUGCUUCCCUUCACAGCAGGAGAGAUUCUAUCCAAGGUCAACGUGCACUGCCCAGUGUUCAACAUGUGACUUUACUCUGUUUCUCUAUAGGAGAGAUUCUAUCCAAGGUCAACGUGCACUGCCCUGUGUUCAACAUGUGACUUUACUCUGUUUCUCUAUAGGAGAGAUUCUAUCCAAGGUCAACGUGCACUGCCCAGUGUUCAACAUGUGACUUUACUCUGUUUCUCUAUAGGAGAGAUUCUAUCCAAGGUCAACGUGCACUGCCCAGUGUUCAACAUGUGACUUUACUCUGUUUCUCUAUAGGAGAGAUUCUAUCCAAGAUCAACGUGCACUGCCCAGUGUUCAACAUGUGACUUUACUCUGUUUCUCUAUAGGAGAGAUUCUAUCCAAGGUCAACGUGCACUGCCCAGUGUUCAACAUGUGACUUUACUCUGUUUCUCUAUAGGAGAGAUUCUAUCCAAGGUCAACGUGCACUGCCCAGUGUUCAACAUGUGACUUUACUCUGUUUCUCUAUAGGAGAGAUUCUAUCCAAGGUCAACGUGCACUGCCCAGUGUUCAACAUGUGACUUUACUCUGUUUCUCUAUAGGAGAGAUUCUAUCCAAGGUCAACGUGCACUGCCCAGUGUUCAACAUGUGACUUUACUCUGUUUCUCUAUAGGAGAGAUUCUAUCCAAGGUCAACGUGCACUGCCCAGUGUUCAACAUGUGACUUUACUCUGUGUCUCUAUAGGAGAGAUUCUAUCCAAGGUCAACGUGCACUGCCCAGUGUUCAACAUGUGACUUUACUCUGUUUCUCUAUAGGAGAGAUUCUAUCCAAGGUCAACGUGCACUGCCCAGUGUUCAACAUGUGACUUUACUCUGUUUCUCUAUAGGAGAGAUUCUAUCCAAGGUCAACGUGCACUGCCCAGUGUUCAACAUGUGACUUUACUCUGUUUCUCUAUAGGAGAGAUUCUAUCCAAGGUCAACGUGCACUGCCCAGUGUUCAACAUGUGACUUUACUCUGUGUCUCUAUAGGAGAGAUUCUAUCCAAGGUCAACGUGCACUGCCCAGUGUUCAACAUGUGACUUUACUCUGUUUCUCUAUAGGAGAGAUUCUAUCCAAGGUCAACGUGCACUGCCCAGUGUUCAACAUGUGACUUUACUCUGUUUCUCUAUAGGAGAGAUUCUAUCCAAGGUCAACGUGCACUGCCCAGUGUUCAACAUGUGACUUUACUCUGUUUCUCUAUAGGAGAGAUUCUAUCCAAGGUCAACGUGCACUGCCCAGUGUUCAACAUGUGACUUUACUCUGUUUCUCUAUAGGAGAGAUUCUAUCCAAGGUCAACGUGCACUGCCCAGUGUUCAACAUGUGACUUUACUCUGUUUCUCUAUAGGAGAGAUUCUAUCCAAGGUCAACGUGCACUGCCCAGUGUUCAACAUGUGACUUUACUCUGUUUCUCUAUAGGAGAGAUUCUAUCCAAGGUCAACGUGCACUGCCCAGUGUUCAACAUGUGACUUUACUCUGUGUCUCUAUAGGAGAGAUUCUAUCCAAGGUCAACGUGCACUGCCCAGUGUUCAACAUGUGACUUUACUCUGUUUCUCUAUAGGAGAGAUUCUAUCCAAGGUCAACGUGCACUGCCCAGUGUUCAACAUGUGACUUUACUCUGUUUCUCUAUAGGAGAGAUUCUAUCCAAGGUCAACGUGCACUGCCCAGUGUUCAACAUGUGACUUUACUCUGUUUCUCUAUAGGAGAGAUUCUAUCCAAGGUCAACGUGCACUGCCCAGUGUUCAACAUGUGACUUUACUCUGUUUCUCUAUAGGAGAGAUUCUAUCCAAGGUCAACGUGCACUGCCCAGUGUUCAACAUGUGACUUUACUCUGUUUCUCUAUAGGAGAGAUUCUAUCCAAGGUCAACGUGCACUGCCCAGUGUUCAACAUGUGACUUUACUCUG